UAACCUCAUAUUUGUAUGAAAUGGAAUCGUUUGCGUACGUUUACCGCUAGGGUCGCUGUUCCAAUUGCAUACAAAAUUGGGCUA
This 84-nucleotide microRNA precursor is filed under the name Bombyx mori (domestic silkworm). RNAcentral's name for it is "mir-2807 microRNA precursor family". It matches the Rfam family "mir-2807 microRNA precursor family". Lineage: Eukaryota; Metazoa; Arthropoda; Insecta; Lepidoptera; Bombycidae. The record is from Rfam by way of RNAcentral.